RNAcentral lists this ribosomal RNA (253 nucleotides) under uncultured bacterium. RNAcentral's name for it is "partial 16S ribosomal RNA". It matches the Rfam family "Bacterial small subunit ribosomal RNA", at positions 524 to 776 of the family's 1533-position model. The record is from RNAcentral.
UACGUAGGGUGCAAGCGUUAAUCGGAAUUACUGGGCGUAAAGCGUGCGCAGGCGGUUGUUCAAGACAGAUGUGAAAUCCCCGGGCUUAACCUGGGAAUUGCAUUUGUGACUGUACGGCUAGAGUGUGUCAGAGGGGGGUAGAAUUCCACGUGUAGCAGUGAAAUGCGUAGAGAUGUGGAGGAAUACCGAUGGCGAAGGCAGCCCCCUGGGAUAACACUGACGCUCAUGCACGAAAGCGUGGGGAGCAAACAGG